UACGUAGGUGGCGAGCGUUAUCCGGAAUUAUUGGGCGUAAAGAGCGCGCAGGUGGUUGAUUAAGUCUGAUGUGAAAGCCCACGGCUUAACCGUGGAGGGUCAUUGGAAACUGGUCGACUUGAGUGCAGAAGAGGGAAGUGGAAUUCCAUGUGUAGCGGUGAAAUGCGCAGAUAUCAGGAGGAACACCGAUGGCGAAGGCAGGUCUCUGGGCAGUAACUGACGCUGAGGAGCGAAAGCAUGGGUAGCGAACAGGAUUA
RNAcentral lists this ribosomal RNA (257 nucleotides) under uncultured prokaryote. RNAcentral's name for it is "partial 16S ribosomal RNA". It matches the Rfam family "Bacterial small subunit ribosomal RNA", at positions 524 to 780 of the family's 1533-position model. The record is from RNAcentral.